This 440-nucleotide ribosomal RNA is filed under the name uncultured bacterium. Its description in RNAcentral is "partial 16S ribosomal RNA". It matches the Rfam family "Bacterial small subunit ribosomal RNA", at positions 338 to 795 of the family's 1533-position model. The record is from RNAcentral.
CCUACGGGAGGCAGCAGUGGGGAAUAUUGCACAAUGGGGGAAACCCUGAUGCAGCGACGCCGCGUGAGUGAAGAAGUAAUUCGUUAUGUAAAGCUCUAUCAGCAGGGAAGAAAAUGACGGUACCUGAGUAAGAAGCCACGGCUAACUACGUGCCAGCAGCCGCGGUAAUACGUAGGGGGCAAGCGUUAUCCGGAUUUACUGGGUGUAAAGGGAGCGUAGACGGCAGUGCAAGUCUGUAGUGAAAGGCUGGGGCUCAACCCUCGGACUGCUCUGGAAACUGUACGGCUGGAGUGCAGGAGAGGUAAGUGGAAUUCCUAGUGUAGCGGUGAAAUGCGUAGAUAUUAGGAGGAACACCAGUGGCGAAGGCGGCUUACUGGACUGUAACUGACGUUGAGGCUCGAAAGCGUGGGGAGCAAACAGGAUUAGAUACUCUGGUAGUC